This 411-nucleotide ribosomal RNA is filed under the name Triticum aestivum (bread wheat). Its description in RNAcentral is "partial small subunit ribosomal RNA". The record is from RNAcentral. Lineage: Eukaryota; Viridiplantae; Streptophyta; Magnoliopsida; Poales; Poaceae.
GGGGCAGUGGCAGCAGUGUGCCGAGAUCACACGGGAGCUUAUUUGGGUUCAUCAGCGGUUGUUUAUCGCGAAAUUACUGACCCCACAAUCUUGGAAACAUUCGCGUGCAGGGAAGCUCUAGCUCUUGCAGAGGAUCUUCAGUCGACAAGAAUGAUGAUUGCUUCAGAUUGCAAAGGAGUGAUUCAAGAUAUAAACGAAGGAACAAAUGGUCCACAUGCGGCUAUAGUACAUGAAAUAACACUUCGGAGAGGCUUUUUCAAUUCGGUUGCUUUUGUGUUUCAGCGUAGAAAUCAUAAUUUCGAAGCUCAUAGUCUCGCCAAGUUCGCUUGUAAUUUAGGAGUAGAUCGGCAUGUUUGGUUGGGAGUUCCCCAUGACCAAAGUCGUGUACCUAUGAACAUUGCUAUCAUUUAA